UGCUGCUUCUCCAACUCCAGCUGCUUCUUUACUUCAGCAAUCAAACGAUCACGCUCCUGCUCGAGACUUUGCCGCAUCUCUGCCAUUGUCAAUUCUAGUUGAGACACAAAGAAAGAUGAGUGUAUAUUUCUCCAUCGUUAGCUCCUUGAUGCCUCAGUUGUGCUGCAUGUGGUACAAAGAGGUACUCCCCACCUGCUGCAGCUGCCUUGCACAGCCUUUGGCCUCAGAAGCCAAGAGUUCAAUACUGCUCUGUGAACUAGUUUUCAACAAAUAAACAGGACCAUGGAUCACACUCUUCCCUCCCAGAAACACAAAUCCAUCAAUUCUGUAUCCUGGCUCCUUUAGACAGAAGAGUCUGAAUGUCUUCGCAAACAUGGCUCUCCCAGGACAUAAUUGUAACAAGGUUAAAGCUCCAAAGCCAAAAUGAUUCCAGAAAGCUUUGAAAGUCAUAUUUACUUCGAUGAAUAAAAUGAGAUAAACACACAGAAUUAUGCAUCUGCCAAAAUUCAGUCCCCCAACCUUUAUUUCCAGCACAGCUUCACAGGACACAAAGGGAUGAAAUAAGAUACUAUUACACAACUUUGUCCCCUGGACCUCAGGCCAGUUCAACACCACA
Long non-coding RNA from Chelonia mydas (Green sea turtle), 616 nucleotides. RefSeq lists it as uncharacterized. The transcript is spliced from 2 exons. The record is from RefSeq and is a predicted model, not a curated record. NCBI's taxonomy places the organism in Eukaryota, Metazoa, Chordata, Testudines, Cheloniidae.